RNAcentral lists this ribosomal RNA (451 nucleotides) under uncultured bacterium. RNAcentral's name for it is "partial 16S ribosomal RNA". It matches the Rfam family "Bacterial small subunit ribosomal RNA", at positions 29 to 523 of the family's 1533-position model. The record is from RNAcentral.
AACGAACGCUGGCGGCAGGCUUAACACAUGCAAGUCGAACGGUUGUAGCAAUACAGCAGUGGCAGACGGGUGAGUAACACGUGGGAACCUUCCUAGAGGUACGGAACAACGCAGGGAAACUUGCGCUAAUACCGUAUACGCUCGAGAGAGGAAAGAUUUAUCGCCUUUAGACGGGCCCGCGUCGGAUUAGCUAGUUGGUGAGGUAACGGCUCACCAAGGCGACGAUCCGUAGCUGAUCUGAGAGGAUGAUCAGCCACACUGGGACUGAGACACGGCCCAGACUCCUGCGGGAGGCAGCAGUGGGGAAUCUUGGACAAUGGGCGCAAGCCUGAUCCAGCCAUGCCGCGUGAGUGAGGAAGGCCUUCGGGUUGUAAAGCUCUUUUGUCAGGGACGAUAAUGACGGUACCUGAAGUAUAAGCCCCGGCAAACUUCGUGCCAGCCGCCGCAGUAA